RNAcentral lists this ribosomal RNA (468 nucleotides) under uncultured bacterium. RNAcentral's name for it is "partial 16S ribosomal RNA". It matches the Rfam family "Bacterial small subunit ribosomal RNA", at positions 28 to 507 of the family's 1533-position model. The record is from RNAcentral.
GACGAACGCUGGCGGCGUGCUUAACACAUGCAAGUCGAACGGAAAGGUCCUGCUUUUGUGGGGUGCUCGAGUGGCGAACGGGUGAGUAACACGUGAGUAACCUGUCCUUGACUUUGGGAGAACUUCAGGAAACUGGGGCUAAUACCGGAUAGGAGCUCCUGCUGCAUGGUGGGGGUUGGAAAGUUUCGGCGGUUGGGGAUGGACUCGCGGCUUAUCCGCUUGUUGGUGGGGUAGUGGCUUACCAAGGCUAUGACGGGUAGCCGGCCUGAGAGGGUGACCGGCCACAUUGGGACUGAGAUACGGCCCAGACUCCUACGGGAGGCAGCAGUGGGGAAUAUUACACAGUGGGCGGAAGCCUGAUGCAGCAACGCCGCGUGCGGGAUGACGGGCUGCGGGUUGUAAACCGAUGUCGCCUGAGACGAAGCGUGAGUGACGGUAAUGGGUAAAGAAGCACCGGCUAACUACGUG